GGCAAUGAUUGAAAAUGGUCUUACUUCUUUCCCAGUCCGACUCGACCAUGACGACAGGGAGUCAAUCAAACACACCACGUUUCAAUCAAUUCGGUUUUUUGGUUUUCCUUCGGGGAAACUGGAUCACUGGUUGGUACGCAAAUGAAACUUUUCUUGCCAAAAUACUUCAGUAUUUUACAAAAUUUCUGAGCC
This 192-nucleotide small nucleolar RNA is filed under the name Hanseniaspora osmophila. RNAcentral's name for it is "Small nucleolar RNA snR190". It matches the Rfam family "Small nucleolar RNA snR190". Lineage: Eukaryota; Fungi; Ascomycota; Saccharomycetes; Saccharomycodales; Saccharomycodaceae. The record is from Rfam by way of RNAcentral.